UCUUUAUGAAAGGAAUCCAUCUAGCCUUAGCACGAGAUCUUAUCGGCCGGACAGUUUUCAGCAAAAUACGCCUAUGCAUACUGGCUAUGAUAAUAGAGUUAAUGCAGAACAAUCUUCAAGUCCUCUAUAUGAUAACAAGGUACUAAGAUCAUGUUUUUCAAACGUGCCAUACAGCUUAGCUCCUCACUUUAUGUCAUCAUUUGAUUCAUGAUUAUUUGGUCACUUUGCAUAGUAGAUUUUACACAUGACAUGGUUAAUUGCAGGUUUGUCCAAUUUGUCUCAUCAAUGCAAAGGAUAUGGCUUUUGGUUGCGGGCAUCAGACUUGUUGCGAAUGCGGUGUAAACCUCGAAUUCUUCCCCAUUUGCAGAAGCACAAUCCAAACCAGGAUAAGGCUUUACUAGUUAUUUACGAUGCAGAAUCGGUUUUACUUGCUAAUUUGUUCUGUUGCAUGAUAAAAGUUGGUCAUAAAAAGGAACUCAGAAACCAAGUGUUGUUUUGAAACCGUAAACCAUAAAAUUAUAGAUUCAUGGAUGGGUUACUUGUUGUUUUGAGAGAGGGAGAGAGAUGUAAAGAAUUGUUGUGAAUGUUGAUGGGUAGGUUACUUCUUGUACAUAAAAUACUGUAUUUGCAAUUUUGAGCCAAAAAACUGUAGAAAGGAUGGACCUUACCCCCUUGUCUAUA
This is a non-coding RNA of Arachis ipaensis, 681 nucleotides long. The record is from RefSeq and is a predicted model, not a curated record. NCBI's taxonomy places the organism in Eukaryota, Viridiplantae, Streptophyta, Magnoliopsida, Fabales, Fabaceae.